GCCUUCGUGGUGUAGUGGUCAGCACGCUCGGCGCGUAACCGAGAGGUCCGUGGUUCGAGUCCCGGUGAAGGCG
This 73-nucleotide transfer RNA is filed under the name Stegodyphus mimosarum. RNAcentral describes it as "tRNA-Thr for anticodon CGU". It matches the Rfam family "tRNA". From Rfam's summary of the family: Transfer RNA (tRNA) molecules are approximately 80 nucleotides in length. Their secondary structure includes four short double-helical elements and three loops (D, anti-codon, and T loops). Further hydrogen bonds mediate the characteristic L-shaped molecular structure. tRNAs have two regions of fundamental functional importance: the anti-codon, which is responsible for specific mRNA codon recognition, and the 3' end, to which the tRNAs corresponding amino acid is attached (by aminoacyl-tRNA synthetases). tRNAs cope with the degeneracy of the genetic code in two manners: having more than one tRNA (with a specific anti-codon) for a particular amino acid; and 'wobble' base-pairing, i.e. permitting non-standard base-pairing at the 3rd anti-codon position. The record is from Rfam by way of RNAcentral. Lineage: Eukaryota; Metazoa; Arthropoda; Arachnida; Araneae; Eresidae.